Molecule: ribosomal RNA, 437 nt
Filed under: uncultured bacterium
Lineage: Bacteria
Description: bacterial SSU rRNA
Rfam family: Bacterial small subunit ribosomal RNA
Source: RNAcentral
GAUGAACGCUGGCGGCGUGCUUAACGCAUGCAAGUCGAACGGGAUCCAUCAAGCUUGCUUGGUGGUGAGAGUGGCGAACGGGUGAGUAAUGCGUGACCGACCUGCCCCAUACACCGGAAUAGCUCCUGGAAACGGGUGGUAAUGCCGGAUGCUCCGGCCUGCCGCAUGGUGGGCUGGGAAAGAUUGUAUCGGUAUGGGAUGGGGUCGCGUCCUAUCAGGUAGUCGGCGGGGUAACGGCCCACCGAGCCUACGACGGGUAGCCGGCCUGAGAGGGCGACCGGCCACAUUGGGACUGAGAUACGGCCCAGACUCCUACGGGAGGCAGCAGUGGGGAAUAUUGCACAAUGGGCGCAAGCCUGAUGCAGCGACGCCGCGUGCGGGAUGACGGCCUUCGGGUUGUAAACCGCUUUUGAUCGGGAGCAAGCCUUCGGGUGAGU